GUGAAUAAUACACUCGAAAGGAAAAGACACCAGAGAUACCGGUUACUGGGUAUAUAAUAGGUGACUAACCAAAAAGAGAGACAAUCGAUACCAAGCAUCCGGGUAAACGAAAGACAACUCAAAGGGAUAAAUUGCAAGCAUCCGGCAAUUAUCCAACAACAAGAAAUAUUCGACUCCACAAAGGGAAAUAACGAAUCUUACUCGACUGGGGAAACACAAAAGGCUUCGACUGAAGAGUGCAUGAGAUAUACUAUUCAUUACCGGCAGACCGUGAAUAAU
Molecule: long non-coding RNA, 279 nt
Filed under: Lathyrus oleraceus (garden pea)
Lineage: Eukaryota; Viridiplantae; Streptophyta; Magnoliopsida; Fabales; Fabaceae
Description: Pisum sativum (pea) long non-coding RNA (PSAT_LNC015952)
Source: RNAcentral